GAUGAACGCUGGCGGCGUGCCUAAUACAUGCAAGUCGAGCGAACGGACGAGAAGCUUGCUUUUCUGAUGUUAGCGGCGGACGGAUGAGUAACACGUGGAUAACCUACCUAUAAGACUGGGAUAACUUCGGGAAACCGGAGCUAAUACCGGAUAAUAUUUUGAACCGCAUGGUUCAAAAGUGAAAGACGGUCUUGCUGUCACUUAUAGAUGGAUCCGCGCUGCAUUAGCUAGUUGGUAAGGUAACGGCUUACCAAGGCAACGAUGCAUAGCCGACCUGAGAGGGUGAUCGGCCACACUGGAACUGAGACACGGUCCAGACUCCUACGGGAGGCAGCAGUAGGGAAUCUUCCGCAAUGGGCGAAAGCCUGACGGAGCAACGCCGCGUGAGUGAUGAAGGUCUUCGGAUCGUAAAACUCUGUUAUUAGGGAAGAACAUAUGUGUAAGUAACUGUGCACAUCUUGACGGUACCUAAUCAGAAAGCCACGGCUAACUACGUG
This 497-nucleotide ribosomal RNA is filed under the name uncultured bacterium. Its description in RNAcentral is "partial 16S ribosomal RNA". It matches the Rfam family "Bacterial small subunit ribosomal RNA", at positions 28 to 507 of the family's 1533-position model. The record is from RNAcentral.